RNAcentral lists this ribosomal RNA (258 nucleotides) under uncultured Glomus. RNAcentral describes it as "partial 18S ribosomal RNA". It matches the Rfam family "Eukaryotic small subunit ribosomal RNA", at positions 624 to 886 of the family's 1831-position model. Lineage: Eukaryota; Fungi; Glomeromycota; Glomeromycetes; Glomerales; Glomeraceae. The record is from RNAcentral.
AAGCUCGUAGUUGAAUUUCGGGGUCAGUAGGUUGGUCGUGCCACUGGUAUGUACUGAUCUCACUGAUUCCUCCUUCCUGAUGAGCUGUAAUGCCAUUAAUUUGGUGUUGCAGGGAAUCUGGACUGUUACUUUGAAAAAAUUAGAGUGUUUAAGGCAGGCUAACGCUUGAAUACAUUAGCAUGGAAUAAUGAAAUAGGACGUUCGAUCCUAUUUUGUUGGUUUCUAGGAUUGACGUAAUGAUUAAUAGGGAUAGUUGGG